Molecule: long non-coding RNA, 734 nt
Organism: Amphimedon queenslandica
Lineage: Eukaryota; Metazoa; Porifera; Demospongiae; Haplosclerida; Niphatidae
Exons: 3
Source: RefSeq, a predicted model, not a curated record
GUUAUAAAAAGAAGUUAAAAACUUCCAUAAGAUAGUUAUACGGCAAAUGAAUGCAUGCAUGCCUGCAUGCACCAAAUGUUCAGCUUUCUCCUUCUUCUUCCACAGUUAAGGAAGAACUAGUCCUACAGUUUUUAUCCUAGAAAUAUCAUUUUUGCACCAUUGUGUUGCACUUUAGGGACGCUAGUGUAGUGUGGCUUGGCAUUGUAAUUCUACAAAAUGAUUUUGUCGUCAUUUUUAAGCACAUAUUGACUCACCAAGUGGUUGGACGCCAUUUUGAUGCAUCCAACUGCGCAUGCUCAGUAUUAUUUUUAUAGUUUCCGACUCUCCGUUACUGACUGAUCUAUGAUGAGAUUGAGAUGAUGUGCUUGCCUAAACACCCUAUCUACUUACACCAAGAUUCCCUUGAAAGUUUUGUAUUUAUGCUUCAAUUUGCCUUCAUUCUCUUCAUUACUUCAAUCUCUUCAAGUAAGUCUCACCACACCCCUUUGCUACCUGCAGAGCUGGAGGAAGGGUCUGGAGACCGUGCACUGCCAUCUAAAAUGUGUGCAAAGAAGAACACGUGCUUGAACUACAUCAUGUGACAGAGGAGACCAGAUCGGUCAAAAUAGCUGAAACAGAUGCUUUGCAGCUAAGAAAAGUUGAGGAUAUUGUCCCUUGAACAUCUCUUGCAGAUCCUUCCUCCACAGGUAAGCGAAGGGGUGGGGCGAGACUAAUGGGUAUGUUAAAUGGUGGGC